This 775-nucleotide ribosomal RNA is filed under the name uncultured Neocallimastigales. RNAcentral describes it as "partial large subunit ribosomal RNA". It matches the Rfam family "Eukaryotic large subunit ribosomal RNA", at positions 22 to 643 of the family's 3401-position model. The record is from RNAcentral. Lineage: Eukaryota; Fungi; Neocallimastigomycota; Neocallimastigomycetes; Neocallimastigales.
GUACACGCUGUGACUAGCAUAUCAAUAAGCGGAGGAAAAGAAACUAACAAGGAUUCCCCUAGUAACGGCGAGUGAAGCGGGAAGAGCUCAAAUUUGAAAUCUUAAAGGGUUUUCCCUUUACGAAUUGUAGUUUAAAGAAGUGUUUUCUGUUGAGGUUUUGGUAAAAGUUCUUUGGAAUAGGACAUCAUAGAGGGUGAGAAUCCCGUAUUUGACCUUUACUUUCAACUUUGUGAUACACUUUCAAAGAGUCGGAUUGUUUGGGAAUGCAGUCCAAAAUGGGUGGUAAAUUUCAUCUAAAGCUAAAUAUUGGCGAGAGACCGAUAGCGAGCAAGUACCGUGAGGGAAAGAUGAAAAGAACUUUGAAAAGAGAGUUAAACAGUACGUGAAAUUGUCAAAAGGGAAGCGUUUGACACCAGUGUUGUUUUUCUGAAAAUCAAUUAAGGAACUGUUUAUGCUAAGUUGUUUAGACUUUAUCAGCUAACUGUUUAGUUUUGAGCUUUUCUUUAAUGCACUUUUCAGUUAACAAGUCAACAUCAAUUUCUUUUGCUGUAAAAAAGCUUGAGGAAGGUGGCUUGAGAUUCGUCUUAAGUGUUUAUAGCCUCUUGCCUAUGCAGUCGGAGAGAUUGAGGUCUGCAGCGUAGAUCCUUCGGGGCUAAAUGCAUUUGUGCUAAGUUAUAGCAUUUUAUAGACAACUUGUUGACUAUGAUUUGUCUUGUAGCUUACUCGCUUAUGUUAUUUUACCUACGCUUAGGAUGUUGACACACGCGCGUGCUCG